This is a long non-coding RNA of Colius striatus (speckled mousebird), 531 nucleotides long. RefSeq lists it as uncharacterized. The record is from RefSeq and is a predicted model, not a curated record. Lineage: Eukaryota; Metazoa; Chordata; Aves; Coliiformes; Coliidae. The transcript has 3 exons.
AGGCUUGAUACAUCAAACAAAGUUCAAUGGAGUUAUUCUUGUCUCGCACCAAUGGAAUUAAAUAUCUCAAGUAUGUCAAAUUUGAGUGGGAAUUAUGAACCAGUUCCAAAAUUAUUGGAGGCCAACUCAUAUAAACAAACGCGAAUAUGAGUCUUAUUUUCCUACAAAAGCAAAAGGGCAGGCCUUUUGCUUCUUCAAGGGUCUGAUCUUCACAGUCAGCUCCUCCAAGUGGUCUUACUGGCUGUGAGAGGUGACCCCGGCAGUCAAGGAAGCCUGAAGAUCCUUCCUAAAAAGAUGGAUUCUGCAAUCUAUGCCUCUAGGUACUAAAUCAACUUCUGACAAGUAAAGAACAAUGCAGUCCCAGGGUUUUACAAUAAAUGUUUGCUGCCAAACCACAAUAAAUGCUUUUGUCUGGAACUCAUGGAGCAGUAACAUAGCAUUGGAGGGUGUACCCUUGUCUGUUAUUCCCUCUGAGCAAAUUCUCAGAGACGUGUUACCAGGGUUCGGAUAGAUUUCAUGGAACUGGUAGAG